GGUGGCGCGUUCAGGGGUGGAGGCGGAGCGGAGAUGAGCUUGGGCCGGGUGUGGGGAGCUGCCGGUGGGGGCUCUGCAUCCGCCAAAUUUUCCCUGUGGGGGCUCCAGCCCUGGAGCACCCACGGAGCUGGUGCCUAAGGCGCCACUUUUGAUGUGAUCAGUGGGGGGAGCAGCCGCUCCCCCUGCUCUCCCCCAGCUACGCUACCCCACCCCUAGGAGCCAGAGGGACCUGCCGGAUGCUUCCCGGGAGCCACCCCAGGUACAAGCCAUCUCAUCAGUAGUUUCCACUGUCAUUCUCUCAGCAGAGCUCCACAAAUGAAAGUGAAGAGUGAAUUACUUCAAAAUGAUAUAUUAUUGCUUCCUUACCACACACCAUACACCAGGUCAUUGGGUUCUUGCGAAACUUCAUCAAAUGAUUAACUAGAAAAUCCUCAUCUGAUUGGAAUAGUAAAAUUGUUCAGCAUCCCAGACAAAGUGAUGGCCACAACUGCAGACCGCUCAUCUUAAAGUUUGCAGAAACAUAUUUGCAGCACAAACAACACAAGAGGCUAAUACUGCGUUUAGAAGACAUAUAGCAAUUCUUCUAAUGAAGGAGUCAGGUGCAGUAAAGUAAAAAUUUGAGAAAAUAUGACUCCCAAAAAAGAAAAAGAAAGCGUGGAGGACUCCUGCAUCUACCGCAGGCUUGUCAACUGUGAAAAGGAAAGUGAGGAUUGCACGAUGGUCCAGUGUGAUUCUUGCAAGAGGUGGGUACAUAUGCCCUGCAUUCCAGAAGGAACCAAUCAAGACUAUCUGACUGAUGAGAAGAAAGAGUACAACUGCAAAAAAUGUGCAUAGUUCCCUUCUUUACCAAAAAAACAACAACAAAACAAAACAAAUAAAAACAACAAAACAACAACAACAACAAACCAUUGUGUUUAAAUGCCUCUUGUUCAAAACAUAAUGCAACCAAAAUAAAUGUGUUAAUUUAUAUACCAGAUUAUAAUAAUAAAUGUUUUUUAUUUGAAAAAAAAUAUUCUUGGUAU
This is a long non-coding RNA of Caretta caretta (loggerhead turtle), 1022 nucleotides long. RefSeq lists it as uncharacterized. NCBI's taxonomy places the organism in Eukaryota, Metazoa, Chordata, Testudines, Cheloniidae. The record is from RefSeq and is a predicted model, not a curated record.